This 200-nucleotide unclassified non-coding RNA is filed under the name Pinguicula villosa. Its description in RNAcentral is "ITS2". The record is from RNAcentral. Lineage: Eukaryota; Viridiplantae; Streptophyta; Magnoliopsida; Lamiales; Lentibulariaceae.
CGCCGCGCCGCACCCCCACCCCUCCCGGGGACGGGGGCGGAGAUUGGUCUCCCGUGCGCCCCGGCGCGCGGAUGGCCCAAAUGGGAUCCCUCGGCGACGCAUGCCAUGACAGUGGGUGGUUGAUCUACGUGGUGUCGUGCUAUGCAGUGUCGCCGGCUAGGGCACCCCGAUGGACCCAACGGCGCGUGUCGCCAGCACUC